Leptinotarsa decemlineata (Colorado potato beetle) is the source of this 1160-nucleotide long non-coding RNA. NCBI's taxonomy places the organism in Eukaryota, Metazoa, Arthropoda, Insecta, Coleoptera, Chrysomelidae. The record is from RefSeq and is a predicted model, not a curated record.
GUUCUCCGCGUCUUUUUUGGAUCGGGGAACUACGGAGAGAAUUGCGUGUGAAGUCCCUACAUUCUAGAACAAAAUAUUUGUGUAGAUCUUGAAUAGUUGAUUUCAUCUGCUUGUUCAGUUAUUUCGUUCAUACAGGAUCUAAGGUAAAGAAGGAAAUGGAGAGAGCGAUACUGAAUUGGGUUCCAGAAAAUUGGGAAAAGGGUGUGAUGAGCACACAUUCUUGGUGCCAACAAAUAGAGCUGGACCGAUAUUCUGAAGAAUUUAAACAACUUCAGUUUGAAAUUCGAAUUGCUUUAAAAGACAAUAAUAAACACAUAGAGCAUAUCCAGAGAAAUCAAUCAGUUUAUGACAUUGGGCAAUUCCUUAUUAGAGGACAACUUCUCUUGACUUUGAACCCUGGUACCAUCUAUUACCAGGUGAGGCGUUAUAUUAAAAUAAGGUCCAAUUUCCUAACAAUGGCACUGAAUUAUAAUGUGGAUCACAGAAGAUGUGGUUUACACUCAGUUGUUUUCCUAAGUGAAAUACCUAAUUUGACAAGUGAUGAUAUUCUAUUGGUUAUACAGGUCAUAACUACUACUCCACAUAGCACAUAUAUAACGCCUUCAAACAGUUCAGACUAUUAUAUUGAGUAUAUUGUGAGAUUCUGAAGAAACUUCUUCAUAUCUUAUGAAUCUAGAGAUAAUACUUGGGUUUUUUAAAGUUUUAUUGUCACUUCAUAUUUUUUACCUAUUGGAUCAUAUAAAGUUAACCUUUGUAAUAUUAUUUUAUUAUUGUUUAUAUAUUUUAGAUAACUCUAAUUUUUAAUAAUGUAUUCAGUUGAUAUAUAUUUUAAUGAGGACUCAAUUUGUAAAAUAAAUGUCCAACAUAUAAACAAAUUGAUUAAUUAAUAUAAGAAACCUAUAUUACUUUCGCAAUAAAUAUGCCAUUUCAAUAUUAGCCAAAGAAAGUUGAAGCUAGUUUAUGUAUGUUAAGUUUAGAACAUUUAUAUUUGUUGAAAAUUAUUCUAUAAAUUAUUUUAAAAAGCAUGUGAUGAAUUCAGUAUUCCUUUCCUUUUUUAUAAUGUAUAUGAUAUCUAAUUAAGUUAAUGAUCAUUUGUUCUGAUUUAGUUCAGAUAACAUUGUUUUAUUAUGAGAAAUAAAUAUAUGACUGAAUAUUUUACA